UCUGGUUUAGUUUAAAAAAAAAUGUUGUUUUGUGGUGACAAAGAUAAUCUUACAUUAACUGGUU
RNAcentral lists this transfer RNA (64 nucleotides) under Macridiscus melanaegis. RNAcentral's name for it is "tRNA-His". Lineage: Eukaryota; Metazoa; Mollusca; Bivalvia; Venerida; Veneridae. The record is from RNAcentral.